UACGAGGGAUGCAAGCGUUAUCCGGAAUUAUUGGGCGUAAAGCGUUUGUAGGCGGGCGAGUGUGUUUAAUGUUAAAUCUUAAAGCUCAACUUUGAAAUUGCGUUAAAAACUGCUUGUCUUGAGUAUGGUAGGGGUAAAGGGAAUUCCCAGUGUAGCGGUGAAAUGCGUAGAUAUUGGGAAGAACACUAAACAGCGAAGGCACUUUACUAGGCUAAUACUGACGCUGAGAAACGAAAGGUAAGGUAGCGAAACGGAUUAGAUACCCGUGUAGUCUUACCCGUAAACUAUGGACACUAAACGGUAAAUUUUUAAUUUACUGUUAAAGCUAACGCGUUAAGUGUCCCGCCUGGGGAGUAUGCCUGCAAAAGUGAAACUCAAAGGAAUUGACGGGGGCCCGCACAAGCGGUGGAGCAUGUGGUUUAAUUCGACGGUACACGAAGAACCUUACCAGGAUUUGACAUGCUAGAUAGUUGCUUGAAAGAGUAACGUGCCGUAAGGAAUCUAGACACAGGUGGUGCAUGGCUGUCGUCAGUUCGUGUUGUGAAAUGUUGGGUUAAGUCCCGCAACGAACGCAACCCUUGUCUUUAGUUAUUUUCUAAAGAGACUGCCUGUAAUAAACAGGAGGAAGGUAAGGAUGAGGUCAAGUCAUCAUGCCCCUUAUGUCCUGGGCUACACACGUGCUACAAUGGGAAAGACAAUGAGCUGCAAAUCUGUAAAUUUAAGCAAAUCUCUUAAACUUUCUCGUAGUUCGGAUUGUGGGCUGCAACUCGCCCACAUGAAGUUGGAAUCGCUAGUAAUCGCCAGUCAGCU
Molecule: ribosomal RNA, 810 nt
Filed under: uncultured bacterium
Lineage: Bacteria
Description: bacterial SSU rRNA
Rfam family: Bacterial small subunit ribosomal RNA
Source: RNAcentral